UAGUUUAUUUAUAUUGAUUAGUUAGAUCCAAUUCUAGCUUCAAAAUUAUGCUAUAUUCAAAUCGAGAUUUGAUUAAGAAUGAUUGAUAUUCGGUUUUGAGUUAAAUUCAAUUUAAGAAUCUUGUGAAAGAAACAAUGACUUGGUUUAUUUGGUGGGCAAAGAUUAUGUUGCUGCAGCGAAGAAUAUGAGAAAUGAGAAAAAUAAAGG
This 207-nucleotide long non-coding RNA is filed under the name Gossypium raimondii (Peruvian cotton). Its description in RNAcentral is "long non-coding RNA (GRAI_LNC007167)". Lineage: Eukaryota; Viridiplantae; Streptophyta; Magnoliopsida; Malvales; Malvaceae. The record is from RNAcentral.